This 492-nucleotide ribosomal RNA is filed under the name uncultured bacterium. Its description in RNAcentral is "partial 16S ribosomal RNA". It matches the Rfam family "Bacterial small subunit ribosomal RNA", at positions 28 to 507 of the family's 1533-position model. The record is from RNAcentral.
GAUGAACGCUAGCUACAGGCUUAACACAUGCAAGUCGAGGGGAAACGGCAUCGAAAGCUUGCUUUUGAUGGGCGUCGACCGGCGCACGGGUGAGUAACGCGUAUCCAACCUGCCCAUCACUUGGGAAUAACCUUGCGAAAGUAAGACUAAUGCCCAAUGACAUCCCACGAAGGCAUCCGAAUGGGAUAAAAGAUUUAUCGGUGAUGGAUGGGGAUGCGUCUGAUUAGCUUGUUGGCGGGGUGACGGCACACCAAGGCAACGAUCAGUAGGGGUUCUGAGAGUAAGGCACCCCAGAAUGGAACUGAGACACAGUCCAAAAUGCUAGGGAGGGCAGGAGUGAGGAAUAGAGGUCGAGGAGCGAGGACGUGAAACAGCCAAGUAGCGUACAAAGGGACGGGCCUAUGGGAUGUAAGCUACUAUUAAAAGAGAAUAAAGUGGGUAACGUGUGACUUUUUGAAGGUACCUUAUGAAUAAGGACCGGCUAAUUCCGUG